Molecule: unclassified non-coding RNA, 303 nt
Filed under: plant metagenome
Description: partial contains 5.8S ribosomal RNA, internal transcribed spacer 2, and large subunit ribosomal RNA
Rfam family: 5.8S ribosomal RNA (bases 1-105)
Source: RNAcentral
GAAAUGCGAUAAGUAAUGUGAAUUGCAGAAUUCAGUGAAUCAUCGAAUCUUUGAACGCACAUUGCGCCCGCCAGUAUUCUGGCGGGCAUGCCUGUUCGAGCGUCAUUUCAACCAUCAAGCCCCGCGCUUGUGUUGGGGACCUGCGGCUGCCGCAGGCCCUGAAAACCAGUGGCGGGCUCGCUGUCACACCGGGCGUAGUAGAUUUUAUCUCACUCAGGGCGUGCUGCGGGUUCCGGCCGUUAAAAAGCCUUUUUUACCCAAGGUUGACCUCGGAUCAGGUAGGAAGACCCGCUGAACUUAAGC